Molecule: long non-coding RNA, 1175 nt
Organism: Rattus rattus (black rat)
Lineage: Eukaryota; Metazoa; Chordata; Mammalia; Rodentia; Muridae
Exons: 2
Source: RefSeq, a predicted model, not a curated record
GAUCACUGCAGUAUGCAACUUCUUCACCUAUGUGCGUUACAUCCAGCAAGGCCUGGUUCGGCAAGAUGCUGAGCCGAUGUUCUGGGAGAUCAUGAGGCUGCGGAAGGGGAUGUCACUAGCCAAGCUUGGCUUCUUCCCCCAGGAGGCCUAGGGCAUGGCCCCAGGCCUGAAGUAAGCUCUGAGCUAGAGAAAACAGCUGCCUUGGGACAGACGAACAAGAAAUCCUGGACCCAGCUCUGAGCCAUAAGCUGAAAGGACAGAUAAACAGCCAGACUGUAGAGACAGUUCUGAGCCAGUACCACCCAUCCCUCUUGGGACAGACAAAAGGACAGCCUGGCCUGGACUUCAUGAGAUGACCCCUCUUGCCCACUAAGCUCUGUAGCCAACAAGAGAAUCUCAAGAAAGCACCGAAGACCAAGGCACUUGGAACAAGGAGCCCAGCCCCAGGAGAGGACUCUUGAGUAGCCAGUACCCCCACCACAACCCCUGCUGCUUACCAAUGCUCUCUUGCUGCCACAUCUUCAGAAAGGGACUGUUCUAGGGUGGCUGGAUCUCCAGGGUGUGCUCUACCACAGCCUCUAAGCCCUGGGACACCAGCACCCCCUUGUGGCCAUUUUCUCACUGUUCCCAAGUGGCCUCAUUAGAAUGCCCAAGUGGUCAGGCAAGUGUCUCCAUUCUGAACAAGGUGGAGGAUAACUGCCCCAGAAUGCUCUGAAGGUGAGUCCAGGACCCCUCCUCCAUUCUUCUGCAUAGAGGCCUCCCUCUCCCCUUCCUCUCCACUUCAACACCAUCUUCAGGAAGCCCUGUUCCUAAAAUUGCCAGGAAUCUGGGUCCUUUCUUCUCAGAGUAUGCCACCAGAGGAACCUGAGGAUGUAGACCUGGGCAGCCAUCCAGGCUGUAGGGGCCCUGUGUUUGGGACUGGAUGGAGAGGGCGGGCCAAGCAGGACACGGACCCUACCUUAUCCAUCCCAGCCCACUGGGAAGUGGGCUCGGGGGAUCCAACCUGGACAUACCCCUCACCACGCCCUCUUUCCUUCAAAUGGAAUGUAACACGAUCUCUAUUUAAUAAAGGAAGGCUUUGUUGGUAGGGGCUAGGCGGCAGUGGCCUUCACUCCUGUGCCCUGGGGCUCUGGCCAGGGCUUGGGCAUCUGAAGGAAUGAAAUCAAAUCCUUUCC